Dunckerocampus dactyliophorus (ringed pipefish) is the source of this 8469-nucleotide RNA transcript. It is a transcript of the gene named lysine-rich nucleolar protein 1, with no coding region annotated. The record is from RefSeq and is a predicted model, not a curated record. The transcript is spliced from 9 exons. NCBI's taxonomy places the organism in Eukaryota, Metazoa, Chordata, Actinopteri, Syngnathiformes, Syngnathidae.
AGCUCGUGUCGUUGCUAACCGGAAGCUGACCCAAACGACUUCCUAGUUAAGAAGGUCAGAGCUUUUACGCGUGAAUUAACAAGUUGUUCAAAACGGAUUCUGAUGAGGAAGUGAUCUUUAUUUCUGAAAGGACUCCAUCAAGGUCCAGCAAGAUUGCGAUUGAUCAGUGCCAACACUGAUAAAUAAGGUGAGAAACACUUGAAGACGUCACAGCGAAGUACGGAGGUGGCAUUCGCGGGGCUCUCUUCUGUUCUUCUCCCUCACCGCUCAUCAUUCUUUGCCAACAAGAGUCUUCAGCAAAGGUGAAGCGACUGGCUCUGCAAAAAGACAUUGAUCAAGAAUCUCUCCCUAAGCAGUGCUGUAAGAAAAAACACAGGUGUUCUUCUGUUCAAAGGCCGGAGGACAAAGAGAAAAUGAAGGUUGAGGAUGAGGCAGGUGAGAAUCUUGAAGAGAAGAAACCCAAGAAACGGCAAACCUUGCUGUGUGAAAUUGCAAACGCCACUGAUGACAAGAAAAAGACAAAAGUAAAAAAACAGGGCUUGACAAUGAAAGUAGACGAGUGUUGGGAGGGAGGAGGUGUGGUGCAAGACAAGAAGAUGAAGAAAAAGAAGAAAUCAGACUCUUUGAAUCAGACAAAUGUUCCUGAUGUUAUGGAUGGAAAUGACAAAAAAGGGAACAAAAAGAAGAUAAAAAAGAAAGAGAUGACUGACAGGCAGGUGGGGACUGAAGUGGGACCAGUAAAAGAAGAGGAAAAAAGUCCAAAGAAAAAGUUGAAGAAUAAAACUAAACAUGAAAAUGUUAUAGUAGAGGAAGAGGAAGUGGCAAAGAAAGCCAAGAAAGAGAGAAAAAGGCUUAUUUCAACAAACAAUUCUGAGGUUGCAGAUGACAAAGGAGUCUUUCAAAAGAAAGAGUGUCUCAAACACGCGGAACAAAAGAAUGAGAAGAAGAAGAAAAGGAUAAAGGAUAAGGGGACACAAAUGAAACAUGAACAUGUGAAGGAGGAGGAAGACGGAGAGAAGGUGCCUAAGAAAGGGAAGAAGAAAACCAAAAAUGUUGCGAGUGCAGAGGAGCAAAUGAAACACAAGACAAAGAGGAAAAAAGACACAGCAGAAAAGGAAGAAAUAAUUGCAACAAAAAAGAAGAAACAAGUCCAGUUAGCAGAGCAUGCAGUUGCAUCAGACACAGUAGACAGACAGGAGAUCAAGGAGGUGAAGCGAAAGAAGAAAAAAAACAAAGCAGGCAAAGUACAGCCUGAUGCUGAUGUUCAAGAGGAAGAAAAACCUGCAAAGAACAAGGAAAGCAGGACAACUCCAAAGAAAAAAGCAGAAAAGGCUAAGAGAAAAUCCUCUGUGGCUAGCACAGAAGAAGAGAUGCAAUCUACUAAGAAGAAGAAGAAACAAAAAGUAGAGGAACCUACAUGUUUAGAGGUUGAAGACAAUGAACCAAGCAAGAAAAGCAAAAAGAAGAGCUCUGAUCAGAAAGCAGCAGAAAGAAAAAGUGCAAAGAAAAAAAUUAAAGAAGAGAUGGAAGAGCAGUUGGACGCUCUUCAAGUGGAUGUGGUCUUUUUGUCGGAGAAGACCGGAAACACAGAUGAGGUCACCAUCAACCCGGAAAGACGACAGGCUUUACAGAUGGAGAUUGACAAGGCCUCUCAGCCUGAACAAGCCAAACAACCUACAAGGUUCAGUCAGUGGGGCACCGCCCAGUUUGAAAGCUCUGAACAGCAGCACAAGUUUCUCAGGUUGAUAGGUGGCUUUAAGCAGGGCUUUCAGUCAGCUUCCGCCACCGUGAGCACGGCAAGAACAAAUAUGGCACUCUGUAAGGACGCACAGGAGCAUUUACAGCAAGGACUCAUGAGGGAGUUCCAGCAUGCCCACACACGCAGAAUGGACUCUAACUUAAGAGGUGCAGGACUUGGGUUUAGUGCACCAUCCCAAAAGAAGUUCUCUAUUGACAUCAAUGCAUGUCGGUCAGUCCGCUUUGACGACUGAGCACUGCUGUGUAAGUCUUCUCAAUAUUGUUUUAACUUUGCAGUCUUUUUUUACAAGGAAGAAAUAAAGCCUGACUGUAAAUAAACAGUGCACAACACAUUCUUUGUGUGACAGACACUUGACAAAUCCAACCAUUUUUAAAAUACAAUAUAACUUUCUCAGCAAACAGGCACACGCUAAUCCAGGGGUCACCAACGUUUUUUCUUGCGAGAGCUACUUUUAGAAAAUGAAAAUGGCCACGAGCAUUUUUGUAGAAAUGAUUUUCAUACCUUAUUUCAACCCAAACAGAUAAAAUAUGCUUGUUUUACCAAAACAUUCACAAAAUGCUGGUAUCCACAACUCACAUUUUAUGUUUCAGAAUACAUUUUUUCUAGUGUUCUCACAUUAUUAACUGAAAACCUGAAUGAAAAGCAGGCUUGCGGGCAACUCGUGGUCAUGGGCGGCUACCUGGUGCCCGCCGGCACCACGUUGGUGACCCCUGCGCUAAUCGAUCUGUGCCUGCGAAUGGUCAAGCAUUAUAUACAAACAUGUACUGUAUACUGUUAUGUCCAUCAUAUGUUAUAACAUGCAUAUGGCAAUGUUGUAUCGAAGGUCUUAAACAUCAAAAGGCAAAAGACUAUUGAUAGAAGAUUGUUAAUCCUUGAUCUGGACAUAUCAGUUGUAUCAGCUAUGUCAGCUGUAAUACUGUAAUGGUGUUCAUGCUAUUUUGAGGUAACACUUUUUAAAGGAUGAAAUAUAAACAUAUCUUUUGAGCUUAAUAAAUGUGCCUUCAAAUUGCAUGAAUGUCCAUAACCUGGGGCAGGCGUACAUAAGCCUCUUGCUUCAGCCUACUCCUUUUGAGCUUCAUUACUGUGCAAUGAUCUGACUGACUGUAGAAAUAAUGUAUGUCAACUGCUCAAUAAACCAAUAUGAUAUAUUACAUCACUAGACAUAAAAACACCAAAAAGAGCAAUAGGCUUCCAUUUUAUUUAACUUGUGCAGACAUCUGCAGUGAAGCUAAAGAGAUCCAAGUGUUCUUCAUUUCAUUAUAAAAUACUUUUCCGCUGGCUCAUGAUGAGCUGGAAAACAGACAUUUACUUCCACGUGUUGCGUGAAAGGUGUUUAUCACUUCACCUUGAAAAUGGAAUCGAUUGAUGCGUUGAGAAAAGUGAGCACCAAAAAAUGCCAAUUCAAAGCACAAUCUCAUUAAGCUGCACCUACGUUUCCUCUAUGUUGCAGUCCAGACUGCAAGAUAGAGUAUGAAGUUAUUGGUGCAACCUAACUGACUGGUGGAAAAGAAGAGUAUCCAACACCUGUCUUGAGACACUGGAAUGCUGCACUGCAACAGAAUUUAUUGCAGCUCUAAUCAGACUGCCAGGUUGUAAUUAAGCUGGCAACAAGCACUUGACCACAGUAUACUGUUAGUACACGUUGUGUUCUACCAAUGUUGCAAUUAGAAUUGAGGUUGCAUCAGUCUGACAGCACACUAUUGACCAAAAAAUAUGAAGACAUAUGAAGCCAGCAAGUGUCCAAACACUCGUCAUCCAGUCUCAUCCUAACAAAUCAGCAGGCUCCUUGGUCACCCAGAGAUCAGGAGAAGGGAAGCUGUGUGUUCCUUGUGGAGGAAAAGAAGUCUAUAAGAGCUUUCAAGCCUGCAGAUACUCUGGCUGGACUCUUGCCACUUUGCGGAACUCUUUGGCAUGCGUCAGUGGACACUGCAUCUCACACCAGCUGAUGGGAACCAUCUGUGCACCUAGUGUACAGUGAAACACUUGUUAAAAUAACAUGCUACUGAAAAUCAUGUUUUUUGGAAUUGAACAGUACAGGAAAUAUAUGCCUCCAAGUGGAUGUGAUGGCAAAGAGAAAAAGCACAAUGAAGACCACGGUACUGGAAAUGGAAUUCAAGGGUUAUGUCAGAAAGCGAUAGAAUGUACACUGCCAAAUCAGCUUUGUUUAGUCUAAAGCCUAGGGCACAACCGGUCAUAUGAGCUCCUACGGCCGGUCUAAGUGCACGUAUAGUAAGAUGGUCUACAUCAUACUACUGUACAUGAACUACAUCAUACUGAAAGAUGUUUCUAAUAUUUAGAAAUUUGAAACACCUCUGGGUAUGAAUCAUUGCAGUUCUAAAUCACUGCACUACAACCACAGUAACAAAUGUUGCUAAAACUGGAAGCAAACGGUCUUCAAGUUUUGAAUAAGCAUUCAAGUUCACCUGCUUCGCUGUGGGCCACCACUACACCCAGUUCAUUCUCAGCUGUAGUCAGCAGGUAGUUGGACUGCACAUCACCCAGUGAGAUCUGUCACGGUCCAAGUCAAGGGUAAGACACACAAUGGUAUAACACAAAAGGUCAAACACAAGGUUGAUGCAAUACAUCAGCAAUAUUUGAAUUUUAGGCAGAACCAUGCCUAAAGUCAUUAAAAAUACAUUUUCAAAAAUACAUUACAACAUAAGACAACAAAGGAUACCACUUUGGCCAGGACAAUAUCUCCAGGUCUAAAACAUUUGUACGUCUCUACCUGUCAGGGAGUUCAGAAACACACAUAUGAUCUUAAAUGUGAAGCACACAGAAGCUGUACAAUGCUGUAUAACAAACCUUGUCUUUCUCUGUUGCUCGCACGUCUUCUUUUCUGCAGGUUUAGAAGAUGGACUGUUGUAUUAUACAGUGAAUGGUGAGGCCCAGCAAAAUGAUUGUUCCUCCAUGUACCUGAUAGUUCCCCUGAAGCGGUCCUUCAGCGGUGUGGAGCCGACGUAAAGGAUGUGGACCUUAGCAAACCUGGGGUUUAUGCUGGUUACCUGUCCAAUCAAACAACAAGGUUGAUGGUCUGACUGCUGAAAACCCUUGUUUUGUCACAAGCAUCCAACAAGUCUGUUUUAAAUCAGCUCUGCUUUUUGCAGUGGCAUGAAAGACUCCCACAUGUCUAAAUGCCUCUGCAGCUUUCUCCACCUCCACACAACUCACCACACCUCUCUCACCUCCUCGCCUUCGUUCUUCUUCAGCACAUAGCCUGCAAGUGAGGAGUAGAUGUAGCCAUGCCGCAGGUAUACGCCUGUGCCAGGAGUACAGUCUUCUACGCUGCACAGUUUGUCACCUGAACACAAACCAGCCAAAAGACAGACAAGCGCUGUUACUGGGAGAGGACAAAAUACACUUACUAAUGAGGAUGAAAAGAAACGACAUUUGUCAGUCAUGCCUGUUCAGCUGUUUUGAUGACAAACUAGGGGCUGACAGCCGAGAGCCCCGGGACAACGAGCCAACCCUAACCCCAACAAUGGGUUUCCCCAUAUACUCAUUUCUUUGUGGUGACCCGCCAUAAAUAAAUUAGGCUCGCCAAAGAUAGAUCUGGUGCUGUUUUUUUUUUAGUUUUUUUUUUUUUUUUAGAUUUGCCACUAGUUAGCAUGUUAGCCACACAGUCAGGAGAUCUGAAAGAUCUAGGUUCGAAUCACUGUGUAGAGUUUGCAUGUUUUCCCCGUGCGUGGGCUUUCUCCGGGUACACCAGCUACCUCCCCCACUCCAAAAAUAUGCAUGUUAGGUUAAUUGGCGACACUAAAUUGUGUGUGUGAAUGGCUGUUUGUCUAUAUGUGUCCUGCGACUGGCUGGCGACCAGUCCAGGGUGUACCCCGGCUCUCGCUCGAGGUCAUGUGGGAUAGGCUCCAGCAUACACACAGCACUAGUGAGGAUAAGCGGCAUAGAAGAUGGAUGGAUUUACCGCUACCUGUUUGCCCUCACUCACACAUAAUGAGACUGUCUGUGGAGCUUGUCGUUACAAUUCUGUACAGUAGGUGGCAUCGUAACUGUGUUUCUUAACACACCUCAUACUUACUUACAGCAGCUGACUUAUUUGCGCAUUAUAACACAUCUGUUCAUUAAUACAGCGAGGUAUUAGAUGUACACUGACGUGUACAUUAUCUUUAAAAUCAGCAUACACUUACAUGAAACAUCACGUAUGGUUGUUUUUUUUUUUUAAAUCCCCAGUGCGUCACAAGGCGCACACGCGUCUACCCCUGCACAAAAUCAAACACCCCUAAGUCACUAACUUCAUGUUCUGUUGUUAAAUAAGUUGUAAACACAUGAGAAAGUUGCAUAUAUCUUACAAAAAAGCUUCUUUUACUGAACUACACAAAAAACACUGAGUCUGAGUUUUUUUUUUUAUCUCUAUACAAAUUAGACGAUGACAAACCCUACUUGUGCUUCGGUACUCUGGCCAGGACCAAAAAUUUUAAAAAGCUCGCUUAGCGUUGUCUGGUAUUUUUGUCAUUGACCAAAGACUGCGUAGUCAAGAACAUAUGCAUAAAGUAACAACAUGAUUGGUGAGCUUUUGUGAUAUACUGUAUGACAUAACGUAACUCCAAAUAUUCCAAUGCAAGGUGCCGUCUGCUGGGUUGAAUCGGUUUACAGAAAGCUCUUUUAAUCGUCUAAUUGUUGUCUAAAUGGUGCUAAAGUUCCGUUGUUUUAUUUGUGCAACUGUUGAAGCCCAACAAGUAUUACACUGUAAUAUGAAUGAUGCAGAAGUUUCCUAAACAUUCUUGACUUUAUAUGCACUGUAUUUGUAAUCAAGCAUGUGUGAAUUCAGGUUUUCUUAUACAUUUCUCGCAGUACUCAACUAAUGAUUUGCAAUGAGAGUCAAAACAAGCGAGAGAGGAAUGCUGCCUGGGGCGAUGGACAUGACUGCCGCUGCUGAGACCUGCCGUGGAAAGUAAAAGUAAACAAUUCCCGCCCAGAGAUAUAAAACUAAAUGACUCCAUUAUUAACGUAUAAAUAUCGUAUCUACGCUCCGCUAUCAGAACAAACAGGCACACGUACAUUUUUGUUAGGCAGAAUUCAAAGAGUAAGUAAAGACAGGAAGUCCAAGCUCAGUCAGCUCACGCGUGAUACUAACUAGUUAGCAUGGCUUAUAUCUAAAGCGUCGAUUUUAGAGUGCUUAGAAAAUAGUAACUAGUCAAAAUACAAUUUCUAUACCAUUCCAGACUGAGGAUACACGAAAUCCUUCCACGCACUGGUUUUAAUACCAACGAACGUAAGUCACUUACCAGGAACACACAGCUUCAUUGGCGACAUGUUUGAGAGGAGGGCUCUUCGUUAGGCCAUUGACUGUAAAGGACAGGAUGAGGCUUCUUCUUCGUCGUUUGCAAACUUGCAAAAAAAAAUAGCGCCACCCUCCAAUGAUCACUAUGGCUUAUAGGCGAUAUCAAUACAGAUAAUGCUUGGAAUUUUGAGGAGAAAAAAAGGUACAAAUAAAUACACAAAAUAAAUUAUGCCCUAUUACUAAGUUUUCAUGUCCGUGAUUUUGCUCUUUAAAUCAUUUCUUUCUCUGCCGUACCUCGUGCAGUUUUUAAGAACAUAAUCUACCGUCUCAGGAACAUUACAGCUAUCACAUUUUCCAGUCUCGUGUUUACGCAUUUUUAAAUAGGUAAACAAUAGUUUAAUCCGGUGUGUCCUCAUCAAAGCCUAGUGAUUAUUGAUUCCUCUCUCCUGCACCUGCCACGACAAUUUUAUACAACGAGAAUAUAAUUAAGAGGAAGACAGCAUUUCUCAACAGGAUAAUAAUGUAUAUGAAUUUUUCCCCAAAAGUUACAUGUGAAAUCAGCAUGAAAAAGAUUUUCAACACUUAAUAGCUUGUGGAAUUUAUUAUGUUCAGUGUCACAGCAAAAGAAAAUACAUAGUUAAUCAUCUUGGUCUUUUACCACCAGUGUUACAAUAUAUGGUAAGCUAUACACACUCACAUGUUAAAGGUCCUGGAUUAACAUUUUGGUCAAUACAUACAUCAUGAAUACUCAUUCUCUAAAAUCUUGUUAUGUCCAAAAAUAUAGAUGAUUCAAAUCCGACCUCAAAGUCUAUGACUGACUUAAAGAUGCAUACGACUGAAAACUUAAAAAAAAGUGCACAGUGUGUGUGCGCAUGUGUGAAGUCUGUGAUGAUGACAACACUAACUGGCCUGUAGACUAGUUAUUUUUUUAACUACACAGCAUGGGAUUGAUGGGAACACCAUCCCACUCUUGGGAGUGGAGUUUAUUUCUUGACCUUGCCCUGAGCAGCCACAGCUGCCAUGGCCUUCUGUACGGUCUCUUCAUCACCCAGAAACUGCAUGCUUCCUAUGGGUUUCAGGUUUUUGUCCAACUCAUACACGAUGGGGAUACCUGUAGGCAGGUUCAGCUCCAUGAUGGCCUCCUCAGACAUACCUAGGAAAGAACAGGCAGGCCUCAUCAUCAGCAUCAGUCCUGAUCUAGCAAGUUACAGUAGACUUAUAUGAUACAACAUGUCAUCAGAAUACUUAUACACAUUCAAGUGUCAAGAGUCGAAGUAAUGGUUUAUAACAUUUUUUGUGAUUCUAGAUGUAUAAAAUGAUAGGAUUUUUAAUACCAUUAUAUCUUCAUUAUUAUGUUGUGAUGUUCCGAGUGUCCGUGAAUGCAUUUUGCAAUCUGUCUCUUGACAAUGAAGAAGUGUCUGGAGUGUUUGGAGUUGAAGAUACAUAUAUGGUGUUGAAAUUGCACUGCUGUUGA